GAAAUUGGUCAAUAGCCUAACGGCUGAACCAGCAACUUGGAGGAAUGUAUAGCGAAAGCUAGUUGCAUUUAAUUUAGUUAAAUCUAAGUUGGUGCAGGAUUGACUUUGUCGAAUAAAGUUCUAGGUGGGUUAUGAUAAUGACAUUUCCUAUCUAUGUGUCUUGACCAAAUUACGUGCCAGCAGUCGCGGUAAUACGUAUAAGACUAGUGUUAUUCAUCUUUAAUAGGUUUAAAGGGUACCUAGACGGUAAAUCAAGUCCGAGANAGGAUACUAAUUUACUAGAGUUUAAUGUGAGGGGGCAUUAAAGUACUGAUAAGUGUAAGGCUAGGUGUAGCAAAAAGGAUUAGAUACCCAAGUAGUCUUAGCAGUUUGAAAAUUAUGAAUGUCAUAGGGUGGAAAUUGUUAGAACUAUAACAUAAAAUUUUAUUCUAUAAAUGAAAGUGUAAGCAUUCCACCUCGAGAGUAAUUUGGCAACAUUGGAACUGAAAUCAUUAGACCGUUUCUGAAACAAGUAGUGAAGUAUGUUGUUUUAAUUUGAUGGUCCGCAAAAACCUUACCACUUUUUAAUUAAAUUUAAUUUGAAUAUAAAAAUUUAUUUUAUACAAGCGCUGCACGGUUGUCUUCAGUUAAUGUCGUGAGAUUUUGGUUAGUUCCAUUAAUUAACGUAAACCCUUACUUUAUUUUUAUAUAGAGUAGUUCACCGCURGAUUGGAUGUGAUAACAGGGACUAAGACAAGUCAUCAUGGCCUUAAUAUUGUGGGCUUAACGU
RNAcentral lists this ribosomal RNA (769 nucleotides) under Rinodina lepida. RNAcentral's name for it is "SSU rRNA". It matches the Rfam family "Bacterial small subunit ribosomal RNA", at positions 359 to 1223 of the family's 1533-position model. Lineage: Eukaryota; Fungi; Ascomycota; Lecanoromycetes; Caliciales; Physciaceae. The record is from RNAcentral.